UCUCCUGGAAAACGGGUGGUAAUGCCGGAUGCUCCAACUUUUCGCAUGGUUUUUUGGGAAAGCUUUCGCGGUAUGGGAUGGGGUCGCGUCCUAUCAGCUUGACGGCGGGGUAACGGCCCACCGUGGCUUCGACGGGUAGCCGGCCUGAGAGGGCGACCGGCCACAUUGGGACUGAGAUACGGCCCAGACUCCUACGGGAGGCAGCAGUGGGGAAUAUUGCACAAUGGGCGCAAGCCUGAUGCAGCGACGCCGCGUGAGGGAUGGAGGCCUUCGGGUUGUAAACCUCUUUUAUCGGGGAGCAAGCGAGAGUGAGUUUACCCGUUGAAUAAGCACCGGCUAACUACGUGCCAGCAGCCGCGGUAAUACGUAGGGUGCAAGCGUUAUCCGGAAUUAUUGGGCGUAAAGGGCUCGUAGGCGGUUCGUCGCGUCCGGUGUGAAAGUCCAUCGCUUAACGGUGGAUCCGCGCCGGGUACGGGCGGGCUUGAGUGCGGUAGGGGAGACUGGAAUUCCCGGUGUAACGGUGGAAUGUGUAGAUAUCGGGAAGAACACCACA
Molecule: ribosomal RNA, 553 nt
Filed under: Bifidobacterium longum subsp. suillum
Lineage: Bacteria; Bacillati; Actinomycetota; Actinomycetes; Bifidobacteriales; Bifidobacteriaceae
Description: bacterial SSU rRNA
Rfam family: Bacterial small subunit ribosomal RNA
Source: RNAcentral